GACAGAGGUGGCAAGCGUUGCUCGGAGUUACUGGGCUUAAAGGGCGCGUAGGCGGUCGUGCACGUCGGUGGUGAAAUCCCCGGGCUCAACCCGGGAACUGCCGUCGAUACGGCGCGACUCGAGUGUGGGAGGGGAGAGUGGAACUCCUGGUGGAGCGGUGAAAUGCGUAGAUAUCAGGAGGAACGCCGGUGGCGAAAGCGACUCUCUGGACCACAACUGACGCUGAGGCGCGAAAGCCAGGGGAGCAAAC
This 250-nucleotide ribosomal RNA is filed under the name uncultured bacterium. Its description in RNAcentral is "partial 16S ribosomal RNA". It matches the Rfam family "Bacterial small subunit ribosomal RNA", at positions 524 to 773 of the family's 1533-position model. The record is from RNAcentral.